This 484-nucleotide ribosomal RNA is filed under the name uncultured bacterium. Its description in RNAcentral is "bacterial SSU rRNA". It matches the Rfam family "Bacterial small subunit ribosomal RNA", at positions 30 to 507 of the family's 1533-position model. The record is from RNAcentral.
AUUGAACGCUGGCGGCAUGCCUUACACAUGCAAGUCGAACGGUAACGGGCCUUCGGGUGCCGACGAGUGGCGAACGGGUGAGUAAUGCAUCGGAACGUACCUUUCAGUGGGGGAUAACGUAGCGAAAGUUACGCUAAUACCGCAUAUUCUGUGAGCAGGAAAGCAGGGGGAUCGCAAGACCUUGCGCUGAUUGAGCGGCCGAUGUCAGAUUAGCUAGUUGGUGAGGUAAAGGCUCACCAAGGCGACGAUCUGUAGCGGGUCUGAGAGGAUGAUCCGCCACACUGGAACUGAGACACGGUCCAGACUCCUACGGGAGGCAGCAGUGGGGAAUUUUGGACAAUGGGGGGCAACCCUGAUCCAGCCAUGCCGCGUGAGUGAAGAAGGCCUUCGGGUUGUAAAGCUCUUUCGGCCGGGAAGAAAUCGUAUGGGCUAAUACCCUGUGCGGAUGACGGUACCGGCAUAAGAAGCACCGGCUAACUACGUG